RNAcentral lists this ribosomal RNA (468 nucleotides) under uncultured bacterium. RNAcentral's name for it is "partial 16S ribosomal RNA". It matches the Rfam family "Bacterial small subunit ribosomal RNA", at positions 28 to 507 of the family's 1533-position model. The record is from RNAcentral.
GACGAACGCUGGCGGCGUGCCUAACACAUGCAAGUCGAACGGAAAGGCCCUGCUUUUGUGGGGUGCUCGAGUUGCGAACGGGUGAGUAACACUUGAGUAACCUGCCCUUGACUGUGGGAUAUCUUCAUGAAACUGGGGCUAAUACCGGAUAGGAUCUCCUGCUUCAGGGUGGGGGCUGGAAAGAUUCGGUGGUUGUGGAUGGACUCGCGGCGUAUCCGCUUGCUGGUGGGGUAGUGGUUAACCAAGGUAUUGCCCGGUAGCCGGGCUGGGAGGGGGGCCGGCACAAUUGGGACGGGGAUGCGGCCCAGACUCCACUGGUAGGGAGGGGAGGGGAAGAUUGCACAGUGGGCGGAGGCCAAAUGCAGCAACGCCGCGUGGGGGAUGACGGCCUGCGGGUUGGAAACUGCUUUCGCCUGUGACGGGGCGAGAGUGACGGUAAUGGGUAAAGAAGCACCGGCUAACUACGUG